CCCUUAGAUGUUCUGGGCGGCCCGCGCACUACAAUGGCGUGUGCAGCGAGUGCCGAAGUAGAGUUUUCCGAGGUAUUCUUGCAAUGCUCGUUUUGAUGGGGAUAGACCCUUGCAACUGUUGGUUUUGAACGAGGAAUUCCUUGUAAGCAUGGUUUAUCAUCCGACGCUGAAUGCGUCCCUGCCCUUUGUACACACCGCCCAUCGCUCCUACCGAUGAGUCGUCCGGUGAAGUUCGUAGACCUCGUGAUCGCGGAUCACUGGGGGAAGCAAAAUGAACCUCGCGGUUUAGAGGAAGGAGAAGUCGUAACA
Molecule: ribosomal RNA, 309 nt
Filed under: uncultured eukaryote
Lineage: Eukaryota
Description: partial 18S ribosomal RNA
Rfam family: Eukaryotic small subunit ribosomal RNA
Source: RNAcentral